AACUAACGCUGGCGGCGUGCCUAACACAUGCAAGUCGUACGAGAAAGUCGGCUUCGGCUGAUGAGUAAAGUGGCGCACGGGUGAGUAACGCGUGGAUAAUCUGCCUUUUAGUUGGGAAUAACGUACCGAAAGGUGCGCUAAUACCGGAUAAUACUGAGCAACUACUGUUGCUUAGUCAAAGAAGGCCUCUGUUUACAAGCUUUUGCUGAAAGAUGAGUCCGCGUACCAUUAGCUAGUUGGUAGGGUAAUGGCCUACCAAGGCUACGAUGGUUAGCUGGUCUGAGAGGAUGAUCAGCCACACUGGAACUGAGACACGGUCCAGACUCCUACGGGAGGCAGCAGUGAGGAAUAUUGCGCAAUGGGGGCAACCCUGACGCAGCAACGCCGCGUGAGUGAGGAAGGUUUUCGGACCGUAAAGCUCUGUCGAGUGGGAAGAAAUGUAUCGUGGCUAAUAUCCAUGAUACUUGACGUACCGCUAAAGGAAGCACCGG
This 491-nucleotide ribosomal RNA is filed under the name uncultured bacterium. RNAcentral describes it as "bacterial SSU rRNA". It matches the Rfam family "Bacterial small subunit ribosomal RNA", at positions 29 to 496 of the family's 1533-position model. The record is from RNAcentral.